Long non-coding RNA from Octopus sinensis (East Asian common octopus), 720 nucleotides. RefSeq lists it as uncharacterized. The record is from RefSeq and is a predicted model, not a curated record. The transcript has 2 exons. NCBI's taxonomy places the organism in Eukaryota, Metazoa, Mollusca, Cephalopoda, Octopoda, Octopodidae.
AUUCGUUUCACCUAUGAUCAAAAGUGUUACCCUGUUUUUAUGCAUGCUUCCUGACUUGAUCAAAUAAGAUAUCUAUAUUUUCAAGACAAAACACCCGAAUCCGGCAGUAUGUUCAUAUCCAGGAAUAACAAACAUCACAACUCAAACCGACCGAAAGGUUGAUAAUAUAGCGAUAUGACAGUGCAGUUUCAACUAUUGCAUUCAUAUUUUCCAGCUUCGGACCACGGCUGUCAUAAAAGGAAUCUAUUUCAUGCGACCAGUUAGAUCGCUUGGUGGGCUGAAAUCUUGCCGCCAAGUUAUUUACAGAAUGUUCUGGUGCUUUUUACUGACGCUAUAUAAAAAUUUAAUUGAGGAGAUGGCCACAGAAGAUUCCAGCUUGAAAUUUUAAUGAUCAAAAAACGUAUUUAAAGUUCUGGAAAAUCUGUCACACUUCAAAGAUUAUAAUCCAGUGAAAAACAAUCAAUAACGAUGACAGUUAAUCCCAAACACGGAACUCAAAACGAGAAAUUUAAUCAAAUUGACAAUAAAAUUAAUGUUUCUACAAACAAGAUGGUCAACACAACUUCAGUUUAUUUGAAGAAAGAACAGAAAUCUGCUUAACAAAGCGAUCUUUUCCUCUCCCUCUGGAGCUGAGAUGAUAAAUAAAUACAUUUUGCGUCUCUGGUCACUCUCUUGAGGAAAACAAAAUAUGGAUUGAAGUUGAAAAAAGUAAUAUUUCAA